Molecule: ribosomal RNA, 850 nt
Filed under: uncultured archaeon
Lineage: Archaea
Description: bacterial SSU rRNA
Rfam family: Archaeal small subunit ribosomal RNA
Source: RNAcentral
GGAGGUCACUGCUAUUGGGGUUCGGCUAAGCCAUGCGAGCGGAGGGCGCGGUCGAAAGAUCGUGGCCCCGCACACGGCUCAGUAACACGUAGUCAACCUACCCUUGGGACGGGGACAACCUCGGGAAACUGAGGCUAAUCCCCGAUAGGCGGGGGACGCUGGGAUGCCUCCUCGCCCAAAGCCCCGGCGCCCGAGGAUGGGACUGCGGCCUAUCAGGCUGUUGGUGGUGUAACGGACCACCAAACCUACGACGGGUACGGGCGAUGGGAGUCGGAGCCCGGAGAUGGGGACUGAGACAAGGCCCCAGGCCCUACGGGGCGCAGCAGGCGCGAAAACUCCGCAAUGCGCACAAGCGUGACGGGGGGACCCCAAGUGCCGUUGGUCUUUCGAUCGACGGUUUUUAGGAAGUCUAGGAAGCUUCCAGAAUAAGGGCUGGGCAAGACUGGUGCCAGCCGCCGCGGUAACACCAGCAGCCCAAGUGGUGGCCACGAUUAUUGGGCCUAAAGCGCUCGUAGCCGGAUCAAUAAGUCCCUUGUGAAAUCGAGCCGCCCAACGGUUCGGCGUGCAAGGGAUACUGUUGGUCUUGAGGCCGGGAGAGGUCGGAGGUACUCCUGGGGUAGCGGUGAAAUGCUCUAAUCCUAGGGGGACCACCAGUGGCGAAGGCGUCCGACCAGAACGGACCUGACGGUGAGGGGCGAAGGCUAGGGGAGCGAACGGGAUUAGAUACCCCGGUAGUCCUAGCUGUAAAGCAUGCGGGCCAGGUGUCUAGCGCUCCUUGAGGGCGCUAUGUGCCGGAGGGAAGCCGUUAAGCCCGCCGCCUGGGAAGUACGGUCGCAAGGCUGAAACUUAA